GUGGGGAAUAUUGGACAAUGGGGGCAACCCUGAUCCAGCAAUGCCGCGUGUGUGAUGAAGGCCUGCGGGUUGUAAAGCACUUUCGGUGAGGAAGAAAAGCUCAAAUAUAAUACAUUUGAGAAUUGACGUUACUCACAGAAGAAGCACCGGCAAACUCUGUGCCAGCAGCCGCGGUAAUACAGAGGGUGCAAGCGUUAAUCGGAUUUACUGGGCGUAAAGGGCGUGUAGGCGGAUACUUUAGUCGAUUGUGAAAUCCCUGGGCUCAACCUAGGAAUUGCAGUCGAUACUGGGUGUCUUGAGUAUGGUAGAGGAAAGUGGAAUUCUCGGUGUAGUGGUUAAAUACGUAGAUAUCGAGAGGAACAUCGGUGGCGAAGGCGGCUUUCUGGCCCAAUACUGACGCUGAGGCGCGAAAGCGUGGGGAGCAAACAGG
RNAcentral lists this ribosomal RNA (430 nucleotides) under uncultured bacterium. RNAcentral's name for it is "bacterial SSU rRNA". It matches the Rfam family "Bacterial small subunit ribosomal RNA", at positions 354 to 776 of the family's 1533-position model. The record is from RNAcentral.